Long non-coding RNA from Thunnus maccoyii (southern bluefin tuna), 410 nucleotides. RefSeq lists it as uncharacterized. NCBI's taxonomy places the organism in Eukaryota, Metazoa, Chordata, Actinopteri, Scombriformes, Scombridae. The transcript is spliced from 2 exons. The record is from RefSeq and is a predicted model, not a curated record.
GCUUAAAGCGCGUUCACAACAAGGAGGUGGAGUCUGCCACAAAGAGCAGGUCACGUGUGAGUCCAAUUUAGAGCAUUGUUCUCCAUGGUGAAUGAUUGGAGUAACCCUGAACAUCUGGCCUGGUGUUCCUACUUAAGCCACUGCUGCUUCUCCCUUCAGGCACCUGUUCUGUUUUGGUUUUGAUAUGCUGCCUUAGUUAGUUUCUUCUUUCCAACACCCAUACACAUAUACACACACACCAUUCAGCAUUUACACAUCCUACUGAGACCACUGACGUCCACACUUCACACUUUAAUUACUUAGCACAUUCUGUAAUUUGGUUCAGUUGGCACUUUAUACUGAUUUAAUUUGGUUUCAUUGAUGACAUUUGGUUUCAUUCUGUAAUAAAGAUUUCUUUUGUUACACAUUCA